AGAAUUGUAGUGAGGACACUCCCGCAACUCUGUGGAGGAACCCAAAUGGCGAGCAUCUGAAGCCUCCUGCUAAAAGCCAGCAAGGAGCUGAGGCCUCUUGAUAACAGCCAGGUGAGCGAGCCAGCUGAGAAGUGGAUCCUCCAGCCCAGUCAAGCCUUCAGAUGACUGCAACCCCAGCCAACAUCCCGACUGCCACCUCUUGAGAGACUCUGUGCCAGAGCCAUCCAUCCAGCUAAGGCACUUGAGAAGGAGACAGACUCUCUGGGUCUAAGAACUACGGGCCCCAGGAGAAUUUUCAGUCAACGUGGAAAUGCCAAGGAGGAUGAGGAGGUCUUUCCGAGAUUCAACAGGGUCUUCAUGAAAUCUCUGAAAUAUCUGUAUUGUGUUGGUCCCCCAAGUUUCUUUUGUGAAGAUGGGAGCAACAUGUGAUAUUCCCACUUCCUCUUUUUAAAACCAUCACUGGGCUGUCAUUUCAGCAACAUCUUAACAAAUGAAAAUCCUCCUCUGAGUCAAUAGUAAUUAUAGGAAUUUAUCACAAUUGCCAAUCAAGGUGUUCUGAAGAGACUCAUCUUUCUUGUUAAAUUAGCUUUCACUGCACGCAAACAGUGAGUUAUCUUUAGGAAAUCAAUUGCAGGGAAAUUACAGCUUUCAUGGAGUGAUAUAACCUUGCCAACCGUCUUGUUAUACAUAAUUCCUCUACCAAAAAAUUCAGCUGGGCUCCUGUGACUUAUUUUCGGGAUUAUAUUUCAAAGCAUGAAAUGUGGAAAAGUCAACUUCUAGAGGCCCAGGAUGGAGGUGGAGGCAAUGACCUUGGGAACGUCCCAAGACACUUGUAGCCAAUUAAACUGUCACCCCAGAUGAGGACGUGAUGACCCCCGGGCAGACAGCCUAUGCUGAUAGCCAUCAUCAAUGACAACUGAAAGAUCAGGGUAUAUGGCAACUGCUCCAUUCUCUGAUGCAUAUCCAAUAAAACAAAGGACUAUCAGGAACUGGGACCAGAUGUCUGCCCUACCCAGAGACCAGCCACCUCCCCGACCUGGAGACUGGCCUGUAUAUAACUAGCCUGUCGUCU
This 1072-nucleotide long non-coding RNA is filed under the name Equus caballus (horse). Its description in RNAcentral is "lncRNA (ENSECAG00000051049.1)". Lineage: Eukaryota; Metazoa; Chordata; Mammalia; Perissodactyla; Equidae. The record is from RNAcentral.